RNAcentral lists this ribosomal RNA (322 nucleotides) under Leptodactylus knudseni (Knudsen's thin-toed frog). Its description in RNAcentral is "partial 16S ribosomal RNA". It matches the Rfam family "Bacterial large subunit ribosomal RNA", at positions 1923 to 2334 of the family's 2925-position model. The record is from RNAcentral. Lineage: Eukaryota; Metazoa; Chordata; Amphibia; Anura; Leptodactylidae.
UUCAACGGCCGCGGUAUCCUAACCGUGCGAAGGUAGCGUAAUCACUUGUUCUUUAAAUGAGGACUAGUAUGAAUGGCAUCACGAAGGUUAUACUGUCUCCUCUUUCCAAUCAGUGAAACUAAUCUCCCCGUGAAGAAGCGGGGAUAACUUUAUAAGACGAGAAGACCCUAUGGAGCUUUAAACUAAGAAUCAACUGACUUUUCCACUUUUAAAUUCCAGAAAACUAACUUUUACCAAGACACUCUGAUUUCUAGUUUUAGGUUGGGGUGACCACGGAGUAAAAACUAACCUCCGCAAUGAACAGGGAUCUUCCCUUAACCAA